RNAcentral lists this ribosomal RNA (103 nucleotides) under Klebsiella aerogenes. RNAcentral describes it as "partial 23S ribosomal RNA". It matches the Rfam family "Bacterial large subunit ribosomal RNA", at positions 1 to 103 of the family's 2925-position model. The record is from RNAcentral. Lineage: Bacteria; Pseudomonadati; Pseudomonadota; Gammaproteobacteria; Enterobacterales; Enterobacteriaceae. RNAcentral also lists the same sequence under 12 other names.
GGUUAAGCGACUAAGCGUACACGGUGGAUGCCCUGGCAGUCAGAGGCGAUGAAGGACGUGCUAAUCUGCGAAAAGCGUCGGUAAGGUGAUAUGAACCGUUAUA